AAGAGUUUGAUCAUGGCUCAGAUUGAACGCUGGCGGCAGGCCUAACACAUGCAAGUCGAACGGUAACAGGAAGCAGCUUGCUGCUUCGCUGACGAGUGGCGGACGGGUGAGUAAUGUCUGGGAAACUGCCUGAUGGAGGGGGAUAACUACUGGAAACGGUGGCUAAUACCGCAUAACGUCGCAAGACCAAAGAGGGGGACCUUCGGGCCUCUUGCCAUCAGAUGUGCCCAGAUGGGAUUAGCUUGUUGGUGAGGUAACGGCUCACCAAGGCGACGAUCCCUAGCUGGUCUGAGAGGAUGACCAGCCACACUGGAACUGAGACACGGUCCAGACUCCUACGGGAGGCAGCAGUGGGGAAUAUUGCACAAUGGGCGCAAGCCUGAUGCAGCCAUGCCGCGUGUAUGAAGAAGGCCUUCGGGUUGUAAAGUACUU
Molecule: ribosomal RNA, 432 nt
Filed under: Salmonella enterica subsp. enterica serovar Virchow
Lineage: Bacteria; Pseudomonadati; Pseudomonadota; Gammaproteobacteria; Enterobacterales; Enterobacteriaceae
Also listed under: 4 other names
Description: bacterial SSU rRNA
Rfam family: Bacterial small subunit ribosomal RNA
Source: RNAcentral